UCUCUCUCUCUCUCUCUGUGUGUCACACACGCGCGUGCACGCUCUUACACCUUUACACAUGUGCUUGCAUGCUUGUGUGUGUUUGUGUGAGGCUCUGAACCUAUAGCUGCAGUACCGUACUGUGCCAAUUGUGAAGCUAGACUCUUGAUCCUACUACAGUUUCUGGAUUUUGCAUAGAACAACUUGGGUAGGAGUUUUUUACGAUCUUGCUAUAAGAUGACCAAGACGCCUAAGUGAGAAAAUUAUGGUCAUUUGUUUUUUUGAAGCCUGAGAUGUAUGGGUUCUAUAAACGCACCAUUGGUUUGGUUCUAGGGAAGCCUCUCACAUUAGGUUGUUUUGCACAAGUUGUAGAAUUGUUGAAGGAGAAGAUUUUUUUUUUUUGUGAAACUAUCCCCAGAUUGACAAAUUUGGUAGUUCAUGCUUUUGUGUAAGAUAAUAAGUGAAACCAAAUUCAUGGAAUGCAAAUUCAAUUUUUAUGUUUAAUGACUUUAUGAGGUUGAUCCCUGGUUGUAGAACACUGGUAGUAGGCAAUGUAAAUUGUAGCCUCCAAUUUGUCUUGAACAACUGUUUGUUUUAUCUCCAUGUUGUUGUGGUAAACGUGUGGAACUCGUUCACCAGAGUUGGAAGAUAAUGGAGUACGCAUCUUUCUUU
RNAcentral lists this unclassified non-coding RNA (651 nucleotides) under Hevea brasiliensis (rubber tree). The record is from RNAcentral. Lineage: Eukaryota; Viridiplantae; Streptophyta; Magnoliopsida; Malpighiales; Euphorbiaceae.